Molecule: microRNA, 24 nt
Filed under: Mus musculus (house mouse)
Lineage: Eukaryota; Metazoa; Chordata; Mammalia; Rodentia; Muridae
Description: mmu-miR-6965-5p
Source: miRBase by way of RNAcentral
AGAGGGAGGCUAUUGGGCAGGAGA